UACAGAGGUGGCAAGCGUUGUUCGGAAUUACUGGGCGUAAAGGGCGCGUAGGCGGCCAUCUAAGUCAGACGUGAAAUCCCCCGGCUUAACCUGGGAACUGCGUCUGAUACUGGACGGCUUGAGUAUGGGAGAGGGAUGUAGAAUUCCAGGUGUAGCGGUGAAAUGCGUAGAUAUCAGGAGGAACACCGGUGGCGAAGGCGGGUCUCUGGGCCGAUACUGACGCUGAGGAGCGAAAGCGUGGGGAGCGAACAGG
This 253-nucleotide ribosomal RNA is filed under the name uncultured bacterium. Its description in RNAcentral is "partial 16S ribosomal RNA". It matches the Rfam family "Bacterial small subunit ribosomal RNA", at positions 524 to 776 of the family's 1533-position model. The record is from RNAcentral.